GUCAUUUGAAGCCGGUCUUUUUAUGUAGGUUGCGUUGCCGCAUGGUUGAUUUGUUCUGCGCCAGCAUAUAAUGUCACGGCGCGACGUCGUGUUUUUGCGUGGUUCGAACGUAUACUUGCGCCAUUCUAAACCAUACGAACAGUACGGUAACACCUGAAAGACUUUGGACUGCUGACGGCAGUUUGUGUGCCUGUUGACAACCCUCUGGGUUUCGCGCGGACCUGAGCUGUCUCCCAGCUUUCGUCACCAUGUCAACCACGUCGAUACUGAAGAAACGUGGUCCGUCGACAUCCACCGUCGUCGUCGAGAACCGCGUGGGAUUCAAGCUGCCUUCUGCCGACGAGAUUGACGUCCAGAUGGCUUUCGCGGAAGCCAACAAGUCGAACGUCAUGGACAGCAACUACAGGCAGCUGAUCAGUGCCCUCAAGUCUGCCGACACCGACGAUGAAGCGCUGGUGAGGUUGCUGAAACGCAUCAAGAACUCUGCGCCACUGAUUGAAAGGCACAACGACGAAGUGCUGGAUUGCGUCCUGAAAAUCAACCUGCUCAGGAGGAAUGUUCACGUCAUAGACGUAUUUUCACAGCUGGCCUGCGACAUGGUCUUCAUCCACCCCGUGAUCCUGAGGAACAUUGUCGUAGCUCUCCUAGGCACCUUCAUGUCUCCAGAAGCCACUUCAAAGGACACGCCAGAGCUGGAAGAAAAAUUGGAGAGGCUUCACGCACUGUUCCGGCUGCUCUUCAAGCUUAUGCCAACGGCUCCCACACGGCUGAUCGAGAUUCUCGCCGAGGUGUUUCCUUACAUGAAACGAGAGGGCACCCAGCAGGCAUCCCUCGUGGGUCAUCUUCUCCGCCUGUCCUCCUACAUCCCAGACCAUAGGCUGGAGCUGCUGCAGCUGCUCACGCACAAGGCGUUGCAGAUUGACCUGCACUGCCCCAAGGAUGAAAUAAGUGAAGCUGAACUCGAAGACGAGGACGAUGCCAUGGAAGGAGGCGACAUCUUUGAAAUGGAAAAAGACAACGGCACCGACUUGGAACGCAUGCAGCAUCCCCUUGCCGACAUUCUGGACCAGGUUCUCAACCAGUUCUACCUGCAUUUCCAACAACGCUGCAACGCCAAAGAUGACGACCUGUCCAAGCUGGACUGGGAGAAGACUAAAGUGCUCUUUAAGGACUUCCUGGCCAUCUUCGACAAGAUAGUCCUGCCGACGCACAAGUGCUGUCACGUACAGUUCCUCCUCUUCUACCUGUGCAGCUUCCGGCCUGCGGCCCUGGCAGUUGCAUUCCUGGACUACCUCUGGAAGAAAGUCCAGAACCCUGCCACAUCGUGCAUCGUGCGGCAAGCGUCGGCAUACUACAUCGGAAGCUUUCUGGCCCGAGCGAAAUAUGUGCCUCUCAGCACGGUGUGCGACUCCCUGUCCCUCAUGUCCAAGUGGGCGCACGGCUACAUGGCCUCGCUGAACGACGGCGGAUUCUGUCAACCCCAGCACGACGUCCAGCGGCACGGAACCUUCUAUGCCGUCUGCCAGACGGUGUUCUAUGUGUUUGCUUUCCACCACAAAGGCAUUGCAGACGGCGAGAAAGGCCUGCAGUACCUGCGCGACCUGAACCUGGAGGCCCUCGUGAUGUGCCCGCUGAACCCUCUGAAGGCCUGCCUGCCCGCCGUGGUCAAGCAGUUUGCCUCGAUAGCACGCCACUACCAGCUUGUCUACUGCUACAGUGUCAUCGAGCGCAACCAGCGGCUCGCCCUGCCCACGGCCGGCGGGGACAACACACCGUACGGAGACACAGUCCUCGACGCGUUCUUCCCGUUCGACCCCUAUGUGCUGAAGCGCACCAGCAAAUGGAUUGAUUCCCUCUACAGGAAGUUCGAGAAGUCUGACGACGAUGCCGACGCAGACUUGGACGACGAACCUGAGUGAAAAAUGCACGAGCAUGACACGGACAGCGUUCUGCGACGAGUGACUGCUGAGGGAGACCGGCAACGCAGACUCCAUAGCGGCACAGCACCGUAGUGCCGGUCCCAGGAGGAGCAAAAGUGCAAGCAGCACUAUCUGCUCGGUGCAUGGACGACGAUGAUGAGCUGAUGUGCAAGUCGCCCAAAUCGCCGAGCUGCGUCGCUGAAAUGUUCAGUUACGGCACGUCGCCUGGCUUCAAGCGCAGUCUAUCUUUUGGUCACCACCGAUAGUUCAGAAGCUAGU
This 2198-nucleotide unclassified non-coding RNA is filed under the name Dermacentor andersoni. RNAcentral describes it as "rNA polymerase I-specific transcription initiation factor RRN3-like". The record is from RNAcentral. Lineage: Eukaryota; Metazoa; Arthropoda; Arachnida; Ixodida; Ixodidae.